CUUGUGCCCAGAGACUGCAGCUGGAUUGUGGCUGGCAGAGUGCCUGGCUGUCUCCCAGGGCUCGUGAAGGGGCCUGCUCUUACCUCCAGCCUGGGAGCUCUGGCUGCAGAAGAUGAAGGAGUCAUCUCUGAGCCUCUUGAAAGAAAUGCUACUGGUCUCCCGACUGAGAAUCACCAGCUUAAAGAGAGGCCCAGAGAGACGUCAAGCAGACAGACUGAUGGACAGACAGACUCUGAGAUGAAGAAACCCAGGUGCAGUGUGAUGUCUGUCCUCUGACAUUGUUGUCCUGACCUUCCUGUGUUGACGAUGGAAGCCCAGACACUGGAAAGCAGUUCUGUGCUGAUCCUGCCGGAGCCUCGAAUGAGCCUCUGCAAGCUGCCUGGGGCAUCAGUCCUGGGAGCCCUGAUGGGGAAGGCACAGGACUGCAGCUCACAAAGAGAUACAAGAUCAUUAACCAGGAAGCCACCAAGAGACACUGCAAUCACCCAUUUGUGUGUCUUAUUUUCUCUGGAGCCAGAAGGUCUUUCAUCUUGGAAUUUCUCUGGGAUUGUGCUUCAUAUUUCAAUCAUUCUCUCUUGUCUGGUUUUAUCUAUCCCUUUGACAGAUCAUAUGGUUGCUCCACUGUUUCCAACUUUCUCAACAGCAUGA
Molecule: long non-coding RNA, 648 nt
Filed under: Bos indicus x Bos taurus (hybrid cattle)
Lineage: Eukaryota; Metazoa; Chordata; Mammalia; Artiodactyla; Bovidae
Description: lncRNA (ENSBIXG00000025530.1)
Source: RNAcentral